This 433-nucleotide ribosomal RNA is filed under the name uncultured bacterium. RNAcentral describes it as "partial 16S ribosomal RNA". It matches the Rfam family "Bacterial small subunit ribosomal RNA", at positions 29 to 507 of the family's 1533-position model. The record is from RNAcentral.
AACGAACGCUGGCGGCAUGCCUAACACAUGCAAGUCGAACGAGACCUUCGGGUCUAGGGGCGCACGGGGGCGUAACGCGUGGGAACCUGCCCUUAGGUUCGGAAUAACUCCCCGAAAGGGGUGCUAAUACCGGAUAAUGUCUUCGGACCAAAGAUUUAUCGCCUUUGGAUGGGCCCGCGUUGGAUUAGCUAGUUGGUAGGGUAAAAGCCUACCAAGGCGACGAUCCAUAGCUGGUCUGAGAGGAUGCUCAGCCACACUGGGACUGAGACACGGCCCAGACUCCUACGGGAGGCAGCAGUGGGGAAUAUUGGACAAUGGGCGAAAGCCUGAUCCAGCAAUGCCGCGUGAGUGAUGAAGGCCUUAGGGUUGUAAAGCUCUUUUACCCGGGAUGAUAAUGACAGUACCGGGAGAAUAAGCUCCGGCUAACUCCGUG